This is a non-coding RNA of Brassica napus (rape), 124 nucleotides long. The record is from Rfam. Lineage: Eukaryota; Viridiplantae; Streptophyta; Magnoliopsida; Brassicales; Brassicaceae.
GGAAUAUAAGAACAUGUCUCUUAAUUUUUAACUAAAAAGUUAAGAGCCGGCUCUUAAAUAAGAGUUUUAAGAGACGGUUCUUAGCAUUUUAAGUUAAAAAUUAAGAAACAGGUUCUUAUAUUCC